CGUGUAGGCGGCUUGGUAAGUCGGGUGUGAAAUCCCGGGGCUCAACCCCGGAACUGCACUCGAAACUGCCUCGCUAGAGUCCCGGAGAGGAAGGCGGAAUUCCCGGUGUAGAGGUGAAAUUCGUAGAUAUCGGGAGGAACACCAGUGGCGAAGGCGGCCUUCUGGACGGUGACUGACGCUGAGACGCGAAAGCGUGGGGAGCAAACAA
Molecule: ribosomal RNA, 208 nt
Filed under: uncultured bacterium
Lineage: Bacteria
Description: partial 16S ribosomal RNA
Rfam family: Bacterial small subunit ribosomal RNA
Source: RNAcentral